AUUGAACGCUGGCGGCAUGCCUUACACAUGCAAGUCGAACGGCAGCACGGGAGCAAUCCUGGUGGCGAGUGGCGAACGGGUGAGUAAUAUAUCGGAACGUGCCCGGUCGUGGGGAUAACGUAGCGAAAGCUACGCUAAUACCGCAUACGAUCUACGGAUGAAAGCGGGGGAUCGCAAGACCUCGCGCGAUUGGAGCGGCCGAUAUCAGAUUAGGUAGUUGGUGAGGUAAAGGCUCACCAAGCCGACGAUCUGUAGCUGGUCUGAGAGGACGACCAGCCACACUGGGACUGAGACACGGCCCAGACUCCUACGGGAGGCAGCAGUGGGGAAUUUUGGGACAAUGGACGCAAGUCUGAUCCAGCCAUUCCGCGUGCAGGAUGAAGGCCCUCGGGUUGUAAACUGCUUUUGUACGGAACGAAAGGUUUCUAUUAAUACUAGGAGCUCAUGACGGUACCGUAAGAAUAAGCACGGCUAACUACGUGCCAG
Molecule: ribosomal RNA, 486 nt
Filed under: uncultured bacterium
Lineage: Bacteria
Description: bacterial SSU rRNA
Rfam family: Bacterial small subunit ribosomal RNA
Source: RNAcentral